Drosophila innubila is the source of this 118-nucleotide long non-coding RNA. RefSeq lists it as uncharacterized. The transcript is spliced from 3 exons. The record is from RefSeq and is a predicted model, not a curated record. NCBI's taxonomy places the organism in Eukaryota, Metazoa, Arthropoda, Insecta, Diptera, Drosophilidae.
GAUGUUCGGCAUUCAAAGUGCUUGUACCUUUGCUGGGAAAGUGACUGAAUUUGUCAGAAAAACAAGUGCAAAAAAAACGGUUAAAUCCAGGUCAAUGUAAUGGAAAAUCGAAGCCACA